RNAcentral lists this ribosomal RNA (492 nucleotides) under uncultured bacterium. RNAcentral describes it as "partial 16S ribosomal RNA". It matches the Rfam family "Bacterial small subunit ribosomal RNA", at positions 29 to 507 of the family's 1533-position model. The record is from RNAcentral.
AGUGAACGCUGGCGGUAGGCCUAACACAUGCAAGUCGAACGGCAGCAUAGUAAGAGCUUGCCCUUACGGGUGGCGAGUGGCGUACGGGAGAGGAAUACAACGGAAUCUACAAUUUCGUGGGGCUUAACGUAGUGAAACUUACGCCAAUACCGCAUACGUCCUACGGGUGAAAGCAGGGGAUGUUCGGAUCGUGCGCGAUUGAAUGAGCCGAUGUCGGAGUAGCUAGUCGUCGGGUUAAAGGCCCACCAAGGCGACGAUCCGUAGCUGAUCUGAGAGGAUGGACAACCAGACUGGAACUGAGACACGGUCCAGACUCCUGCGAGAGGCAGCAGUGGGGAAUAUUGGACGAUGGGCGCAGGCCUGAUCCUGCCAUACCGCGUGGAUGAAGAAAGCCUUCGGGUUGUAAAGCCCAUUUGUUGGGAAAGAAAAGCAGCAGGUUAAUACAUCGCUGUUCUGACGGUACCCAAAGAGUAAGCACCGGCUAACUUCGUG